Molecule: transfer RNA, 69 nt
Filed under: Monodelphis domestica (gray short-tailed opossum)
Lineage: Eukaryota; Metazoa; Chordata; Mammalia; Didelphimorphia; Didelphidae
Rfam family: tRNA
About the family: Transfer RNA (tRNA) molecules are approximately 80 nucleotides in length. Their secondary structure includes four short double-helical elements and three loops (D, anti-codon, and T loops). Further hydrogen bonds mediate the characteristic L-shaped molecular structure. tRNAs have two regions of fundamental functional importance: the anti-codon, which is responsible for specific mRNA codon recognition, and the 3' end, to which the tRNAs corresponding amino acid is attached (by aminoacyl-tRNA synthetases). tRNAs cope with the degeneracy of the genetic code in two manners: having more than one tRNA (with a specific anti-codon) for a particular amino acid; and 'wobble' base-pairing, i.e. permitting non-standard base-pairing at the 3rd anti-codon position.
Source: Rfam by way of RNAcentral
AGUAAGGUCAGCUAAAUAAGCUAUUGGGCCUGUACCCUGAAAAUGAUGGUUCACAUCCUUCCCAUACUA